CCUUGUAUUACAAUGGCUUGCCUA
Molecule: non-coding RNA, 24 nt
Filed under: Arabidopsis thaliana (thale cress)
Lineage: Eukaryota; Viridiplantae; Streptophyta; Magnoliopsida; Brassicales; Brassicaceae
Source: RNAcentral